Molecule: small nuclear RNA, 107 nt
Organism: Ochotona curzoniae (black-lipped pika)
Lineage: Eukaryota; Metazoa; Chordata; Mammalia; Lagomorpha; Ochotonidae
Source: RefSeq, a predicted model, not a curated record
GUGCUCGCUUCGGCGGCACAUAUACUAAAAUUGGAACGAUACAGAGGAGAUUAGCACAGCCCCUGCGCAAGAAAGGAGAUCUGCACCAUGAUAUGGCCGCCUUGGUU